CCGUCGUGUGGUCGGGUCGCAAAAGGGAAGUCGGUGAAACCCAUGCACUCUCGGGGGAUGUUGGUGCGUAGGGAUCUGUAGAGGCUCGAGUGGACAACGGGUCGGGUCGGGUCGACGCUUAGCGGGUCAGGUUCUACUUGAGAGGUGUAAGCCCACACGCCACCUAUCUGGCUCCCGCGCUCUAAUACGACCACUGAGUGGCCUUCACGACGCAGCUCACGCGCAGCCACGAGUCCGG
RNAcentral lists this long non-coding RNA (238 nucleotides) under Eutrema salsugineum. Its description in RNAcentral is "long non-coding RNA (ESAL_LNC000641)". The record is from RNAcentral. Lineage: Eukaryota; Viridiplantae; Streptophyta; Magnoliopsida; Brassicales; Brassicaceae.